GGCACUUCUUCAUGCUGCCUUGCGAAGAAGCUGGCUUGCUUCCUCUUUGUCUUCCGCCAUGAUUGUAGAUUUCCUGAGGCCUUCCAAGCUGUGCUGAACUUAACAAUUUGGACAAGACAGCAAAUGCUAUUGUCGAAGUUUUCUAAAGAAGAAUCUGAAGUGAAAUGACAUCAAGAGACCUAUCAAGACCUGUAUCCAGGAAAAGACCAAACCAAUGCAGACCAAACCAAUGCAGAACUCCUAUGUGCUGAUGGUGGUCUUACAUUUCCCUAAGUUUCUGCCGACUAAACUGUGCACACGUUCUCAGGACCUCCUGAAGCUGCGUCACAGGCACUAAUCAAAGAACACAACCAAGGAAUCAUUCUAGCCUUCUCGUCUUGCUAAUUUGUAACCUCCCACUUCAACAGUGAGAAAGCUGGUUCCCACCAUCUGCGACUUAUACGGCACCGAAAGCGAAGGAAGCUCCUGCUCCUCCUAAAGCCGAAGCCAAAGUGAAGGUUUUAAAGGCCAAGAAGGCAGUGUUGAAAGGUGUCCGCAGCCACACGCAAAAAAGAAGAUCCGCAUGUCACCCACCUUCAGGCGGCCCAAGACACUGCGACUCCGGAGGCAGCCCAGAUAUCCUCGGAAGAGCACCCCCAGGAGAAACAAGCUUGGCCACUAUGCUAUCAUCAAGUUUCCGCUGACCACUGAGUCGGCCGGAAGAAGAUAGAAGAAAACAACACGCUUGUGUUCACUGUGGAUGUUAAAGCCAACAAGCACCAGAUCAGACAGGCUGUGAAGAAGCUCUAUGACAGUGAUGUGGCCAAGGUCACCACCCUGAUUUGUCCUGAUAAAGAGAACAAGGCAUAUGUUCGACUUGCUCCUGAUUAUGAUGCUUUCGAUGUUGUAACAAAAUUGGGAUCAUCUAAACUGAGUCCAGCUGGCUAACUCUAAAUAUAUGUGUAUUUUUUCAGCAUAAAAAAAUAA
RNAcentral lists this long non-coding RNA (966 nucleotides) under Homo sapiens (human). Its description in RNAcentral is "novel transcript". The record is from RNAcentral. Lineage: Eukaryota; Metazoa; Chordata; Mammalia; Primates; Hominidae.